Molecule: ribosomal RNA, 305 nt
Filed under: uncultured bacterium
Lineage: Bacteria
Description: bacterial SSU rRNA
Rfam family: Bacterial small subunit ribosomal RNA
Source: RNAcentral
UUGCCUCCGGGGGGCAGCAGUGGGGAAUAUUGCACAAUGGGGGAAACCCUGAUGCAGCGACGCCGCGUGAGUGAAGAAGCGCCUCGGCGCGUAAAGCUCUGUCAGCAGGAACGAUAAUGACGGUACCUGAAGAAGAAGCCCCGGCUAACUACGUGCCAGCAGCCGCGGUAAUACGUAGGGGGCAAGCGUUAUCCGGAUUUACUGGGUGUAAAGGGAGCGUAGACGGCGGGGCAAGUCUGGAGUGAAAGGCCGGGGCCCAACCCCGGGACCGCUCUGGAAACUGCCCGGCUGGAGUGCGGGAGAGG